UCCGUAGGUGAACCUGCGGAAGGAUCAUUACAGAAAGUAAACGCGGAUCAAACCGCGAACUUCUAAACCUUUGACGAUUGACUCAUGUUGCCUCGGCGGGUUCUCCCGCCAGAGGAUACAUCAAAACUCCUGUUUUAACGGUGUUGUCUGAGCUACAAGCAACGAAUCAAAACUUUCAACAACGGAUCUCUUGGUUCUGGCAUCGAUGAAGAACGCAGCGAAAUGCGAUAAGUAGUGUGAAUUGCAGAAUUCAGUGAAUCAUCGAAUCUUUGAACGCACAUUGCGCCCCUUGGUAUCCCGAGGGGCAUGCCUGUUCGAGCGUCAUUUCACCACUCAAGCCUGGCUUGGUGUUGGGCGACGUCCCCUUUGGGGACGCGCCUCGAAACGCUCGGCGGCGUGGCACCGGCUUUAAGCGUAGCAGAAUCUUUCGCUUUGGAAGUCGGGGCCCCGUCUGCCGGAAGACCUACUCGCAAGGUUGACCUCGGAUCAGGCAGG
This 495-nucleotide ribosomal RNA is filed under the name Cenococcum geophilum. RNAcentral describes it as "eukaryotic LSU rRNA". The stretch from base 171 to 324 matches the Rfam family "5.8S ribosomal RNA". Lineage: Eukaryota; Fungi; Ascomycota; Dothideomycetes; Gloniales; Gloniaceae. The record is from RNAcentral.